This 497-nucleotide ribosomal RNA is filed under the name uncultured bacterium. RNAcentral's name for it is "partial 16S ribosomal RNA". It matches the Rfam family "Bacterial small subunit ribosomal RNA", at positions 28 to 507 of the family's 1533-position model. The record is from RNAcentral.
GAUGAACGCUGGCGGCGUGCCUAAUACAUGCAAGUCGAGCGAACAGACGAGGAGCUUGCUCCUCUGAUGUUAGCGGCGGACGGGUGAGUAACACGUGGAUAACCUACCUAUAAGACUGGGAUAACUUCGGGAAACCGGAGCUAAUACCGGAUAACAUUUUGAACCGCAUGGUUCAACAGUGAAAGACGGUCUUGCUGUCACUUAUAGAUGGAUCCGCGCCGCAUUAGCUAGUUGGUAAGGUAACGGCUUACCAAGGCAACGAUGCAUAGCCGACCUGAGAGGGUGAUCGGCCACACUGGAACUGAGACACGGUCCAGACUCCUACGGGAGGCAGCAGUAGGGAAUCUUCCGCAAUGGGCGAAAGCCUGACGGAGCAACGCCGCGUGAGUGAUGAAGGUCUUCGGAUCGUAAAACUCUGUUAUUAGGGAAGAACAAAUGUGUAAGUAACUAUGCACGUCUUGACGGUACCUAAUCAGAAAGCCACGGCUAACUACGUG